This 276-nucleotide ribosomal RNA is filed under the name Triticum aestivum (bread wheat). RNAcentral describes it as "partial small subunit ribosomal RNA". The record is from RNAcentral. Lineage: Eukaryota; Viridiplantae; Streptophyta; Magnoliopsida; Poales; Poaceae.
GGUUACAAUCGUCUCGUUGUUAAUUCUGACAAUAUGAAGAUGAUUGACACACUGAAUAGUGGGGGGACAUUCGGCGGGAGCGUGUCCGAUGAUUGCUAUUUCAUAGCUUGUGAUUUUCCUCUUAUUAGGUUUGAACAUUGUAAUAGGGAAGCAAAUAAGGUGGCUCACGAACUUGCUAGCCUAGCGAAUUUUUCCGUGACUAGGGAUUGGUUUGACAAGCCUAUAAGUGACAUUGUACCUUUUCUUAUUGACGAUGUAACAACCAUUACUAAUUAA